AUACGGAGGAUCCGAGCGUUAUCCGGAUUUAUUGGGUUUAAAGGGUGCGCAGGCGGGAGAUUAAGUCGGCGGUGAAAUUUUGCAGCUCAACUGUAAAAGUGCCUUCGAAACUGGGUUCCUUGAGUGUAGAUGAAGUAGGCGGAAUUUGUGGGGUAGCGGUGAAAUGCAUAGAUAUCACGAGGAACUCCGAUUGCGCAGGCAGCUUACUAAACUACUACUGACGCUCAGGCACGAAGGCGUGGGGAUCAAACAGGAUUAGAUACCCUGGUAGUCCACGCAGUAAACGAUGAUUACUAGCUGUUUGCGAUACAAUGUAAGCGGCUGAGCGAAAGCGUUAAGUAAUCCACCUGGGGAGUACGUUCGCAAGAAUGAAACUUAAAGGAAUUGACGGGG
This 393-nucleotide ribosomal RNA is filed under the name uncultured bacterium. Its description in RNAcentral is "partial 16S ribosomal RNA". It matches the Rfam family "Bacterial small subunit ribosomal RNA", at positions 523 to 918 of the family's 1533-position model. The record is from RNAcentral.